Molecule: ribosomal RNA, 497 nt
Filed under: uncultured bacterium
Lineage: Bacteria
Description: partial 16S ribosomal RNA
Rfam family: Bacterial small subunit ribosomal RNA
Source: RNAcentral
GAUGAACGCUGGCGGCGUGCCUAAUACAUGCAAGUCGAGCGAACAGACGAGGAGCUUGCUUCUCUGACGUUAGCGGCGGACGGGUGAGUAACACGUGGAUAACCUACCUAUAAGACUGGGAUAACUUCGGGAAACCGGAGCUAAUACCGGAUAAUAUUUUGAACCGCAUGGUUCAAUAGUGAAAGACGGUUUUGCUGUCACUUAUAGAUGGAUCCGCGCUGCAUUAGCUAGUUGGUAAGGUAACGGCUUACCAAGGCAACGAUGCAUAGCCGACCUGAGAGGGUGAUCGGCCACACUGGAACUGAGACACGGUCCAGACUCCUACGGGAGGCAGCAGUAGGGAAUCUUCCGCAAUGGGCGAAAGCCUGACGGAGCAACGCCGCGUGAGUGAUGAAGGUCUUCGGAUCGUAAAACUCUGUUAUUAGGGAAGAACAAAUGUGUAAGUAACUGUGCACAUCUUGACGGUACCUAAUCAGAAAGCCACGGCUAACUACGUG